This 1195-nucleotide long non-coding RNA is filed under the name Sinocyclocheilus grahami. Its description in RNAcentral is "lncRNA (ENSSGRG00000023958.1)". The record is from RNAcentral. Lineage: Eukaryota; Metazoa; Chordata; Actinopteri; Cypriniformes; Cyprinidae.
GGAUUGGCCGCUCUUGAGUUUCUGCCUCCAGCAUUAUGGGGCGGAGCAUCAUCCAGAUGUUACGUUGCAUAUUCAUGCAGUAUUUUAAUGCAUUGCCAGUCAGAGGGGCUGAGAAGGAAGAAAAUGAUAGAGACAAGAAGACCAAACUUUGUGUUUUUCGUCAUGUUCUGGUCAUCCCAGGUUCUGUAAUCAUCAUGUAGGUGGUGACUGAUGGCCACUGUGUAUCAUAUCAAAUCCUAACUUCAGUGGGACCAGACAUCAGCGUUAAUGGGCCACAGAUCUCAGAGGUGAACAUGGAACUUGCCGAUUCUCCUUGUCCUCUUUGCAGAAAUGCCCAGAACUCUUAAGAGUAAAAACGUCUCUUGGGGUUCGGCGGACCGUCAGGACUCAGGGGCCACUGAGGAGAAGGAGAAGAAUGCCCAAGUCCAGCUGGAGAAGGCCAAGGUAGAUUGCAACUCCAUAAUUCUCUCAGCUGCCCAUUCCUGCUACCAGUGACGUUGGCCACAAGGACCGAAAUAUAUCACAGCUUUAGAUGUACUCAUAAAUUUUGCAUGGCUCUUUUUCCUCUGUCAAAGUAACAAGGUAGCCGUGUCAAAAAGCUAAUCACCAAAUGCCUUGGUUGAAACAGCACAUCAGUGUUAAAUCUUGUACUCUACAAAAGCAAUGCUCUACAUGCAACUGACAAACAAUAGCUACAAUUACCUUUUCUUCUGUUCCUUUGCACACUCCAAAAACAGAUAAGAAGCACCAUGGCAAACCAUGAAUGAGCAACAAACAACAAACACUUGGUGUUUUAUCAUCGGCACUUUACAGUCCAGUUUUGCUCGGCUUUUAAAAACUGAAUGAAACCCCCCUAACUGUGUCAGUGAGCUCCCUGAGGUCCUUUUUAAUUAAGGUACUGAGCAGACAGCAUCAUGUCCUGCUUCAGUCCACCAUCUCCCACAGAGCAUCACCUUUAAAAACCAGGCUAUAAGCAGCUAGACUGCUAUUGUGUUGACAUUUUACUAUCUUUUAGUUAAAUACCAAAUUAUAAUACAAUAAAUUAAUAGAACAAAGUGAUUUAUUUAUUAUUGUGUUACUAGGCAGUAUUUUUGAAUAUGGAAAACUGGAUUAUUGUUUUUUUUUUAAAGUUAGAAACAGGUUAUACAUUGUGAAAUAGAGUAAGCUAAUGUUCUCAAACUUUUUUAAGGCUCAG